This is a non-coding RNA of Paramuricea clavata, 91 nucleotides long. Lineage: Eukaryota; Metazoa; Cnidaria; Anthozoa; Malacalcyonacea; Plexauridae. The record is from the annotation of a GenBank genome assembly.
AUAUACGUAUACGUAUACGUAUACGUAUACGUAUACGUAUAGUAGUCAAAGUCGUAUAUAUAUACGUAUACGUAUACGUAUACGUAUACGU